GGGGUUGUAGCUUAGUGGUAAAGUGCUCACCUAGCACGUGUGAGACCCUAGGUUUGAUCCCCAGGACCACA
RNAcentral lists this transfer RNA (71 nucleotides) under Marmota monax (woodchuck). It matches the Rfam family "tRNA". Rfam says of the family: Transfer RNA (tRNA) molecules are approximately 80 nucleotides in length. The record is from Rfam by way of RNAcentral. Lineage: Eukaryota; Metazoa; Chordata; Mammalia; Rodentia; Sciuridae.